RNAcentral lists this long non-coding RNA (702 nucleotides) under Numida meleagris (helmeted guineafowl). Its description in RNAcentral is "lncRNA (ENSNMEG00000000720.1)". The record is from RNAcentral. Lineage: Eukaryota; Metazoa; Chordata; Aves; Galliformes; Numididae.
AUGAGCCACGUGGAGCCCCGGCACCGCCCUGCCGGCACCCUCUCGACUCCUCCCGGGUACGCGGUACCGCGCCCGCAGCCCUUCCCCUCGGCACCCCUGUCCCCCCUCGGCACCCCGGCCACCCCCAUCCCACCCCCGACCCCGCAGUGCCCUCCGAUGAUCACGGGGUACCUCCAUCCCGCCCCAAGAUCACCACCCAUCCUUCUCCUCAGCACCCCACUUCCCUCGGAGUACCCUCAUCCCACCCCUCGCGGGCAUCCGCGUGCCCCUCUGACGGACACCCUGCGUCCCACGGGGGCUCUUCGCGUCCCACGCCACGCGGGUGCCCCACGCCUCAGGGAGCGGAGCCCAUCACCGAGCGCGGAGCGACGGCUGCGGGCAGCCCGGGAGCGCGGGGAAAGAGGCUGCGCACGACAAGCCCGAGAAAUCUGUCAUCCAUACUUAGACACUCUGAGCACAUACACCUGAAUUCCUGCGGGUUGUCCUGUGCUGCCCAAGAAAGGUUUCCCUCCCUGCAGGUGUGGCUCCUGAGGCUGUACCGUUGCUCCUGUGCUGCACACCACCGCCUGCAAAAUUUUGGAUGGGCAGAAAAAUGAAUGAAUUAUAAAAGGCACAGACUUUUCUGAACUAUAUGUCUUUUUCUACAAAUGUGUAUUUUAAAAUGCAUAAUAAAAAAUGAAAACAACUAUAGAAUUGAUAACA